UCGAUUUGGAGUUUGUUGCCCUGAGUGAUGGGCUCCGAAGCUAACGCGAUAAAUCGACCGCCUGGGGAGUACGGCCGCAAGGUUAAAACUCAAAUGAAUUGACGGGGGCCCGCACAAGCGGUGGAGCAUGUGGUUUAAUUCGAUGCAACGCGAAGAACCUUACCUGGUCUUGACAUCCACAGAAUCUUGCGGAGAUGCGAGAGUGCCUUCGGGAACUGUGAGACAGGUGCUGCAUGGCUGUCGUCAGCUCGUGUUGUGAAAUGUUGGGUUAAGUCCCGCAACGAGCGCAACCCUUAUCCUUUGUUGCCAUUGGUUCGGCCGGGAACUCAAAGGAGACUGCCGUUGAUAAAGCGGAGGAAGGUGGGGGACGACGUCAAGUCAUCAUGGCCCUUACGACCAGGGCUACACACGUGCUACAAUGGCGUAUACAAAGGGAGGCGACCUCGCGAGACCAAGCGGACCUCAUAAAGUACGUCUAAGUCCGGAUUGGAGUCUGCAACUCGACUCCAUGAAGUCGGAAUCGCUAGUAAUCGUGAAUCAAAAAUGUCACGNUGAAUACGUUCCCGGGGCCU
RNAcentral lists this ribosomal RNA (572 nucleotides) under uncultured Gammaproteobacteria bacterium. RNAcentral's name for it is "bacterial SSU rRNA". It matches the Rfam family "Bacterial small subunit ribosomal RNA", at positions 812 to 1382 of the family's 1533-position model. Lineage: Bacteria; Pseudomonadati; Pseudomonadota; Gammaproteobacteria. The record is from RNAcentral.